Molecule: ribosomal RNA, 484 nt
Filed under: uncultured bacterium
Lineage: Bacteria
Description: partial 16S ribosomal RNA
Rfam family: Bacterial small subunit ribosomal RNA
Source: RNAcentral
AUUGAACGCUGGCGGCAGGCCUAACACAUGCAAGUCGAGCGGAUGAAGGGAGCUUGCUCCUGGAUUCAGCGGCGGACGGGUGAGUAAUGCCUAGGAAUCUGCCUGGUAGUGGGGGAUAACGUCCGGAAACGGGCGCUAAUACCGCAUACGUCCUGAGGGAGAAAGUGGGGGAUCUUCGGACCUCACGCUAUCAGAUGAGCCUAGGUCGGAUUAGCUAGUUGGUGGGGUAAAGGCCUACCAAGGCGACGAUCCGUAACUGGUCUGAGAGGAUGAUCAGUCAAAAUGGAAAUGAGACACGGUCCAGACUCCUACGGGAGGCAGCAGGGGGGAAUAUUGGACAAUGGGGGAAAGCCUGAUCCAGCCAUGCCGCGGGUGUGAAGAAGGUUUUCGGAUUGGAAAGCACUUUAAGUUGGGAGGAAGGGCAGUAAGUUAAUACCUUGCUGUUUUGACGUUACCAACAGAAUAAGCACCGGCUAACUUCGUG